This 2747-nucleotide ribosomal RNA is filed under the name Citrobacter sp. RNAcentral's name for it is "partial 23S ribosomal RNA". It matches the Rfam family "Bacterial large subunit ribosomal RNA". The record is from RNAcentral. Lineage: Bacteria; Pseudomonadati; Pseudomonadota; Gammaproteobacteria; Enterobacterales; Enterobacteriaceae.
GGUUAUGCUAAUAAGAGCGUAUGGUGGAUGCCUUGGCACUAAGAGCCGAUGAAAGACGUGAUAAGCUGCGAUAAGCUUCGGGGAGGGGCAAAUACCCAUCGAUCCGGAGAUUUCUGAAUGGGGAAACCCACUGGAGCAGACCUCCAGUAUCCUUAACCCAAUCCAUAAGUUAAGGAAGGGAACCCGGUGAACUGAAACAUCUAAGUAGCCGGAGGAAGAGAAAACAACAUGUGAUUCCGGAAGUAGCGGCGAGCGAAACCGGAAGAGCCCAAACCAGGGUGCGUGCACCCUGGGGUUCGGACCGCAUAAUUGAUUCAUGGAAGAUAGCAGAACAGUUUUGGGAAAGCUGGCCAGAGAGGGUGAAAGCCCCGUAAGCAAAAUCCAACAUGACAUGGCGGUAUCCAGAGUACCACGAGACACGAGAAACCUUGUGGGAAUAUGCGGGGACCACCCCGUAAGGCUAAAUACUCCUUAGUGACCGAUAGCGCAUAGUACUGUGAAGGAAAGGUGAAAAGGACCCCGGGAGGGGAGUGAAAGAGAACCUGAAACCAUAUGUUUACAAACUGUGGGAGCACUAUAUAGGUGCAACCGCGUACUUUUUGUAGAACGGUCCGGCGAGUUACGCUGGCUGGCGAGGUUAAGGGCCAAAGGCCCGGAGCCGAAGGGAAACCAAGUCUGAAUAGGGCGAUCAUAGUCAGUCGGAGUAGACCCGAAACCGGGUGAUCUAUCCAUGUCCAGGUUGAAGUUGCCGUAAAAGGCAAUGGAGGACCGAACCCACAUCCGUUGAAAAGGGUGGGGAUGAGGUGUGGAUAGGGGAGAAAUUCCAAUCGAACCCGGAGAUAGCUGGUUCUCCUCGAAAUAGCUUUAGGGCUAGCCUCAUACUCAAGUCUUGCGGAGGUAGAGCACUGAAUUUCCUAGGGGGCGUCAAAGCUUACCAAAGAAUAUCAAACUCCGAAUGCCGUGUAGAUGAUGUAUGGGAGUCAGACUGUCCGAGAUAAGUUGGAUGGUCAAAAGGGAAAGAGCCCAGACCUACAGCUAAGGUCCCAAAAUGUGUGUUAAGUGGAAAAGGAUGUGGGAUUUCGAAGACAACUAGGAUGUUGGCUCAGAAGCAGCCAUUCAUUGAAAGAGUGCGUAAUAGCUCACUAGUCGAGAGGUCCUGCGCCGAAAAUGUCCGGGGCUGAAACACACUACCGAAGCUUAGGAAUUAACGAAUGUUAAUUGGUAGAGGAGCAUUCUUAACUGCGACGAAGCUGUACCGUAAGGAGCAGUGGAGUGUUAAGAAGAGAGAAUGCCGGAAUGAGUAGCGAGAGGAAGGUGGGAAUCCUUCCGGCCGAAUAUCUAAGGUUUCCAGAGUAAAGCUGAUCUGCUCUGGGUAAGUCGGGGCCUAAGGCGAGGUCGAAAGACGUAGUCGAUGGACAACAGGUUGAAAUUCCUGUACUUUUAACUGACAGAACUGUGGGGACGCAGAGAGAAAGCGCAAGCCGGGAGUGGAAAAUCCGGUGCAAGCGGGGUAGGAGUAUAUCAGGCAAAUCCGGUAUACAAUCCGAAGACGUGAUGCGGAGCGAACUAAAGUAGCGAAGUGCGUGAGCUAGCUGCCAAGAAAAGCCGCUAUUGUUCAGUUAAAACCCGUACCGUAAACCGACACAGGUGGAUGAGGAGAGAAUCCUAAGGCCGACGGGAGAAGCAUUGUUAAGGAACUCGGCAAAAUGACCCCGUAACUUCGGGAGAAGGGGUGCCUCGCGAGAGGCCGCAGAGAAUUGGCCCAAGCAACUGUUUAGCAAAAACACAGGUCUAUGCAAAACCGAAAGGUGAGGUAUAUGGGCUGACGCCUGCCCGGUGCUGGAAGGUUAAGGGGAGAGGUUAGCGCAAGCGAAGCUUUGAACUUAAGCCCCAGUAAACGGCGGCCGUAACUAUAACGGUCCUAAGGUAGCGAAAUUCCUUGUCGGGUAAGUUCCGACCCGCACGAAAGGCGUAAUGAUUUGGGAUACUGGGAUUCGGUAUUGCAUGUACAGGAUAGGUGGGAGGCUAAGAACUUAUGACGCCAGUCGUAAGGGAGCCGCUGUUGGGAUACCACCCUUGCAGUAUUGGGUUUCUAACCAUCAGCCGUGAUCCGGCUGGGGGACAAUGUCAGGUGGGGAGUUUGACUGGGGCGGUCGCCUCCGAAAGGGUAUCGGAGGCGCUCAAAGGUCUUCUCAGAAUGGUUGGAAACCAUUCGCAGAGUGCAAAGGCAUAAGAAGGCUUGACUGCGACACCGACGGGUGGAGCAGGUACGAAAGUAGGACUUAGUGAUCCGGUGGUAUAAAGUGGGAUUGCCAUCGCUCAACGGAUAAAAGCUACCCUGGGGAUAACAGGCUUAUCACUCCCAAGAGUUCACAUCGACGGAGUGGUUUGGCACCUCGAUGUCGGCUCAUCGCAUCCUGGGGCUGAAGUAGGUCCCAAGGGUUGGGCUGUUCGCCCAUUAAAGCGGUACGCGAGCUGGGUUCAGAACGUCGUGAGACAGUUCGGUCCCUAUCCGGCGUGGGCGUAGGAUAUUUGAGAGGAGCUGACCUUAGUACGAGAGGACCGGGUUGGACUGGCCGCUGGUGUAUCUGUUGUUCUGCCAAGAGCAUAGCAGAGUAGCCAAGCCGGGAAGGGAUAAACGCUGAAGGCAUCUAAGCGUGAAGCCCCCCUCAAGAUGAGAUAUCCCAUAACGUCAAGUUAGUAAGACCCCUUGAAGACGACGAGGUAGAUAGGACAGAGGUGGAAGU